This 26-nucleotide non-coding RNA is filed under the name Rattus norvegicus (Norway rat). The record is from RNAcentral. Lineage: Eukaryota; Metazoa; Chordata; Mammalia; Rodentia; Muridae.
UGUAAUUAUGGCAGGGCAUUGGGAGA